GGCGAAAUGACCGAGUGGUUAAGGUGCUGUGUUCAGGAAUGUGUGUUAAAAACAGUCUCCCAAAACCGCAGUCCGAAAGGGCGUGGGUUCGAAUCCCACUUUCGUCA
Dioszegia hungarica is the source of this 107-nucleotide non-coding RNA. The record is from the annotation of a RefSeq genome assembly. Lineage: Eukaryota; Fungi; Basidiomycota; Tremellomycetes; Tremellales; Bulleribasidiaceae.